Dreissena polymorpha is the source of this 981-nucleotide long non-coding RNA. RefSeq lists it as uncharacterized. The record is from RefSeq and is a predicted model, not a curated record. NCBI's taxonomy places the organism in Eukaryota, Metazoa, Mollusca, Bivalvia, Myida, Dreissenidae. The transcript is spliced from 8 exons.
CAAAGAUACAGAAGGCAUUGACGAAUAACUAUGACGACAUUAAUGAGCACAUACAGGUACUAACAUUAGGCGGACCAAGUCCACUUUAUGGCGGCAUGUUAAUCAGUAUGGAAACAGCCCAUAUUGCUAAAAGAAGAUAUGUUCCAAGUGUAAACGGCUUAAAUUUAUCUCCGAAAAUAAUUGUCAUCACUGAUGGUUGUCCUACGGAUACAUUACUACAUGCAGGACCAGACAUUCAGGACGAAAGUAAAGUGGAACAGACCGUGUCUCACAUAUCAUAAGCUGUUGAAGAAAUUGACAAGAGAGACUUUGAAUUGUUUUUCAUCGGCGUUGGAAAAUGCAACAAAUCUUUCAUACACAACAUGUCAACGAUAAGCCAGUCAAAGAUGUAUUUGUACAAAGAUGGAAGGAGGCUUGCUCGCAAUGGGUUCUUUGAGUCACAUUUGGCUUCACAGGGACUUCAAUUGAAAUUGUCGUUAAAAACCAGUCUGUCAGUUUUGGAUGAGGACGAUAUAAAAUUUAUCCGUGCUGACACAAGGAGGCGCUGCGAAAGGCCGUACGGGUCAUUGUUUCAGGAGAGUAAUGACGCUUAUCUGCUAUCACGAGGCUGCCGGGUACGCAGGGGACCGGCUUGGAAAAAUGGAUGCAUUGACAAUAGUGGUCCUGGUACUGUCAUCGGUCAUUUUGAUGGGAAACUGGUGGUCACAUGGGAUAUGAAUGGCCACACAAGCAGCUACAGAUUCACCAGGGAUUGCUUUGAAGUGAUGUCAUCAAAUUGAGUUGAUAAGAAAAUAUCUAACAAAACAUGUAAUCUUGAGGUCUAUAAAUCGUUAUUCAAUUGGUGGCAGCUGCGGAUCAAAAUGAUCCUUGGCACAAACUGACAUUACACAAAAACACAAACAAGCACAAUACAUUAUUGUUCAAGCAACGCUAACAGGAAACGCAAACAGUGUUUAAGGCAUCUUAAACCUGAGCAUCUUU